UUUUUACACUUGAUCUCUGAACUUUCAGGUAAGUUCAUGUGUCAAGUAAUGUUUUUCCUGAUGUC
This is a small nucleolar RNA of Dioscorea cayenensis subsp. rotundata (Guinea yam), 65 nucleotides long. RefSeq annotates it as small nucleolar RNA snoR101. The record is from RefSeq and is a predicted model, not a curated record. NCBI's taxonomy places the organism in Eukaryota, Viridiplantae, Streptophyta, Magnoliopsida, Dioscoreales, Dioscoreaceae. The transcript has a single exon.